UAAGGAGCUUGCUCCUUUGACGUUAGCGGCGGACGGGUGAGUAACACGUGGGUAACCUACCUAUAAGACUGGGAUAACUUCGGGAAACCGGAGCUAAUACCGGAUAACAUUUGGAACCGCAUGGUUCUAAAGUGAAAGAUGGUUUUGCUAUCACUUAUAGAUGGACCCGCGCCGUAUUAGCUAGUUGGUAAGGUAACGGCUUACCAAGGCGACGAUACGUAGCCGACCUGAGAGGGUGAUCGGCCACACUGGAACUGAGACACGGUCCAGACUCCUACGGGAGGCAGCAGUAGGGAAUCUUCCGCAAUGGGCGAAAGCCUGACGGAGCAACGCCGCGUGAGUGAUGAAGGGUUUCGGCUCGUAAAACUCUGUUAUUAGGGAAGAACAAACGUGUAAGUAACUGUGCACGUCUUGACGGUACCUAAUCAGAAAGCCACGGCUAACUACGUGCCAGCAGCCGCGGUAAUACGUAGGUGGCAAGCGUUAUCCGGAAUUAUUGGGCGUAAAGCGCGCGUAGGCGGUUUCUUAAGUCUGAUGUGAAAGCCCACGGCUCAACCGUGGAGGGUCAUUGGAAACUGGGAAACUUGAGUGCAGAAGAGGAAAGUGGAAUUCCAUGUGUAGCGGUGAAAUGCGCAGAGAUAUGGAGGAACACCAGUGGCGAAGGCGACUUUCUGGUCUGUAACUGACGCUGAUGUGCGAAAGCGUGGGGAUCAAACAGGAUUAGAUACCCUGGUAGUCCACGCCGUAAACGAUGAGUGCUAAGUGUUAGGGGGUUUCCGCCCCUUAGUGCUGCAGCUAACGCAUUAAGCACUCCGCCUGGGGAGUACGACCGCAAGGUUGAAACUCAAAGGAAUUGACGGGGACCCGCACAAGCGGUGGAGCAUGUGGUUUAAUUCGAAGCAACGCGAAGAACCUUACCAAAUCUUGACAUCCUUUGAAAACUCUAGAGAUAGAGCCUUCCCCUUCGGGGGACAAAGUGACAGGUGGUGCAUGGUUGUCGUCAGCUCGUGUCGUGAGAUGUUGGGUUAAGUCCCGCAACGAGCGCAACCCUUAAGCUUAGUUGCCAUCAUUAAGUUGGGCACUCUAGGUUGACUGCCGGUGACAAACCGGAGGAAGGUGGGGAUGACGUCAAAUCAUCAUGCCCCUUAUGAUUUGGGCUACACACGUGCUACAAUGGACAAUACAAAGGGCAGCUAAACCGCGAGGUCAUGCAAAUCCCAUAAAGUUGUUCUCAGUUCGGAUUGUAGUCUGCAACUCGACUACAUGAAGCUGGAAUCGCUAGUAAUCGUAGAUCAGCAUGCUACGGUGAAUACGUUCCCGGGUCUUGUACACACCGCCCGUCACACCACGAGAGUUUGUAACACCCGAAGCCGGUGGAGUAACCAUUUAUGGA
Molecule: ribosomal RNA, 1393 nt
Filed under: Staphylococcus edaphicus
Lineage: Bacteria; Bacillati; Bacillota; Bacilli; Caryophanales; Staphylococcaceae
Description: bacterial SSU rRNA
Rfam family: Bacterial small subunit ribosomal RNA
Source: RNAcentral